Molecule: long non-coding RNA, 919 nt
Organism: Ailuropoda melanoleuca (giant panda)
Lineage: Eukaryota; Metazoa; Chordata; Mammalia; Carnivora; Ursidae
Exons: 4
Source: RefSeq, a predicted model, not a curated record
AGCCAGAGACCAGUCACGGUCUUCCCUCCACUUACUCAUUCUUACAUCCCAAAGUCCAUGCUUGAGUUUGCCCUAAAUUCCUCAGGCUGCAGUGAGCCUCUGAUGAUCCCAGAGGGACAUCCUCAUCAGGAAGGAUGACAGUCCCCUCAGAACACACUGCUCUUCCUUGGCUCCCUCAUGCAGUGAGACUCUCCACGAAACCAGUGACAUCACUCAGAGACAAAAUGCGUGUGAAUGGAUGGCAAAUCUAGUCUUCUGGUCACAGGCCUUCCCUGCCCUCACCACACUGACGAACGGGCAGUCAGUCCCCUACUGGGCGUGGCUGACAGGCCCCCACCCAGCCUUGCUCCAGCCCAGGGGAAUGGUGGCUUAGGCGGCCUUGGCGGACCGCGAACCAGAUGCUGGUGGCACUCAUGUGUGGCCCUCGCAAGACAGAUGGGCACGGACGAAGUUCUUCAAUGGAGGGCGAGCCUUUUCAGCCUCAGCCCUGUUGGUGUUUGGGGACUGUUAUGAGCUGAAUCGUGUCCCUCAAAAGACACGUUCAAGUCCCAACCCCUAGAGCCUGUAGAGGUGGCCUUGUUUGGAAGCAGCAUCUUUGCAGAUGUGACUCAGACGAGGGCAUACCGAAUGCGCCACGGCCCCAUGACGAAGGCCCACCAGUGGGGCGUGCGAGCUGACAUGUGGCGAGCAGACGUGCAUGUGAGCAGAUGUGCCUCAGCCUGACGCCAGCGAGAGGAGGCCUCAGGGCCGCACACAACAGUGGGACGAUGCGCCCGGCCCGUCAGGAGGGGUUCACCCUCCUGUCGCCGAGCGAGGCCCCCCGUGCUGCCCAGUGUUUCACACGCACGUCCGUCUCAGCUCCAGAAGAAAUGCGGCUUUUCUUUGCACUUGCUGGUCGAUGCAGCUCCAACCCCAUGGA